UAGGUUUCUCAUUUUCAUACUUGAGGGCUAUGGAAUUCACUAAAAUAGUGGGAGAUAUAAUUAGAUAAAAAAUCUCAUCUAACUUGUGCAUGUCAUCAUGAGUAGUCUUUGUAUGUUCUUAUAUACACAUCUGCAUCUUUACUAUCACUGUAUGGGAUAAUCUUAGAUUGACCGAACUUCAUAUAAUGGUUGAGAAAAAGAAGAUGAAGAAUAUCUUCAUCAUGGGUAUCU
Molecule: long non-coding RNA, 231 nt
Filed under: Elaeis guineensis (African oil palm)
Lineage: Eukaryota; Viridiplantae; Streptophyta; Magnoliopsida; Arecales; Arecaceae
Description: long non-coding RNA (EGUI_LNC058710)
Source: RNAcentral